ACUCCCAACCCAUGUGAACUUACCUUUUGUUGCCUCGGCAGAAGUUAUAGGUCUUCUUAUAGCUGCUGCCGGUGGACCAUUAAACUCUUGUUAUUUUAUGUAAUCUGAGCGUCUUAUUUUAAUAAGUCAAAACUUUCAACAACGGAUCUCUUGGUUCUGGCAUCGAUGAAGAACGCAGCGAAAUGCGAUAAGUAAUGUGAAUUGCAGAAUUCAGUGAAUCAUCGAAUCUUUGAACGCACAUUGCGCCCAUUAGUAUUCUAGUGGGCAUGCCUGUUCGAGCGUCAUUUCAACCCUUAAGCCUAGCUUAGUGUUGGGAAUCUACUUCUCUUAGGAGUUGUAGUUCCUGAAAUACAACGGCGGAUUUGUAGUAUCCUCUGAGCGUAGUAAUUUUUUUCUCGCUUUUGUUAGGUGCUAUAACUCCCAGCCGCUAAACCCCCAAUUUUUUGUGGUUGACCUCGGAUCAGGUAGGAAUACCCGCUGAACUUAAGCAUAUCAAUAAGCGGAGGAAAAGAAACCAACAGGGAUUGCCUUAGUAACGGCGAGUGAAGCGGCAACAGCUCAAAUUUGAAAUCUGGCCCUUGGGUCCGAAUUGUAAUUUGUAGAGGAUGAUUUUGGUGCGGUAUCUUCCGAGUUCCUUGGAACAGGACGCCUUAGAGGGUGAGAGCCCCGUACGGUUGAAUGCCUAGCCUCUGUAAAUCUCCUUCGACGAGUCGAGUAGUUUGGGAAUGCUGCUCUAAAUGGGAGGUAAAUUUCUUCUAAAGCUAAAUAUUGGCCAGAGACCGAUAGCGCACAAGUAGAGUGAUCGAAAGAUGAAAAGCACUUUGAAAAGAGGGUUAAAUAGCACGUGAAAUUGUUGAAAGGGAAGGAUUUGUGACCAGACUUUUUCUGGGCGGAUCAUCCGGGGUUCUCUCCGGUGCACUUCGCCCAGUAAAGGCCAGCAUCGGUUUUCGGCGUGGGAUAAAAGCAGUAGGAAUGUGGCUCUCUACGGGGAGUGUUAUAGCCUAUUGUAUAAUACCGCGCUGGGGACCGAGG
RNAcentral lists this ribosomal RNA (1032 nucleotides) under fungal endophyte. RNAcentral's name for it is "eukaryotic LSU rRNA". The stretch from base 451 to 1032 matches the Rfam family "Eukaryotic large subunit ribosomal RNA", at positions 1 to 593 of the family's 3401-position model. Lineage: Eukaryota; Fungi. The record is from RNAcentral.